Molecule: ribosomal RNA, 253 nt
Filed under: uncultured bacterium
Lineage: Bacteria
Description: partial 16S ribosomal RNA
Rfam family: Bacterial small subunit ribosomal RNA
Source: RNAcentral
UACGAAGGGGGCUAGCGUUGCUCGGAAUGACUGGGCGUAAAGGGCGCGUAGGCGGUUUUGACAGUCAGAUGUGAAAUUCCUGGGCUCAACCUGGGGGCUGCAUUUGAUACGUAUGGACUGGAGUGAGGAAGAGGGUCGUGGAAUUCCCAGUGUAGAGGUGAAAUUCGUAGAUAUUGGGAAGAACACCGGUGGCGAAGGCGGCGACCUGGUCCUUUACUGACGCUGAGGCGCGAAAGCGUGGGGAGCAAACAGG